AAAAUAGAAAAUAAUUUCAAACAAAAAAAAAAACAACAUACCGAGGGCCAAUACAAAUUGUUGUGCAUGUUUUUGUUGCAGAAUCGGCUGUCUCUCGUAUGAGUAUGUGUAUGUGUGUGUGUGUGUGUUUUGUGCUUGUGUGCGUAUGUCGACUGUAAGUGCAUGUGUAGUGGAAUUAAAAAUGCAAGCAAUCGCAUUAAAAUAAGCGUAAUGCAUAAAUAAAGUUUUAGCUGCAUAAAAAAACAGAACCAAAGGCAAAUGUUAAUUCACGCAGUGUAAAACAACAAAACUAGCAAAGCCAACAACAAAUGUGGGGCCAUUCGUGUGCCAUUGUGUAUGUAUGGGUGUGAGUGUGUGUAAAAACGACGACAAGAGCGCAAUAAGAUAAAAUUGAAGGUUAUUCUCUACAAAAAAAAAAAAUAACAAGUGCCUGUGUAUAUGUGUGUGAGAGAUAGAGAGUGAGAGAGAGAGAGAGAGAGGCACACACAAAAAUGGGGAGAGCGCACGCUCACUCGAAGAAAGCAGCGCACAAAAGCAAAUGCUGAAAAUGUCAAUAAACUCUGCAAAGGUGAAAAACAAAAUAUGUAUAAAAAACAGCGGCAUUCAUUGUGCAAUAAUACUAUCGUUCGCGUUAUUGUGCAAAUAUUUUUUAUAAAACCAUUUUUACAACAACAACAAAUGUCUGAAUUAUUUGCAUUCAAAAUGCAUAACAUGUGCAUAGAAAAUUAAUUACAGUUUUUAAUAAAACAAAAAUGAAUAAUUAAUUAAAAUUUACACAAAAUUAUGUAAACAAUUUUUAUUGUAAUCAAGUAAAACAAUUUCAAAUUAAGCGAGAAAUUUAAUACUGAGACUUGGGCAACGCGGCAACAUUUUAGGGAAUAUCCAAAACAAAUCUUAUUAGACUGAAAACAAGCACAAUUGGAAUAUUAAUUUUAAAAUUUUGAAUGACGUUUGGUGGAGCGCACAGAUACUUGUACAGAUACCGGCAUUGUCAACCUGUCGCUCAUUUGCACAGAGGCACAGACGAACGGAGAGCCUACGUACGGCUGUACAUUCCAAUCUUUGUUAUUUUUUUUGGUCUCCAAGUUUUAUCGUAGAACUCGCCGAGAAUUUAAGUAGAUCCCAACAAAUGCCUUAGACUUAAAGUUGACGUCUUUUGUCUGUGAUUAGGGUCAAGGAAGGUCGCCGUAGGUUGCAGAUAUAUUUGCAAGGUUAGAAAGAACCAUUUCUUAAUAUGUGUUGGGGUACAGACAUGUGCAUCUGAAAUGUUUGUAAUUCAAGAAGAAGCAGAAGUCUUUUAUAGGUCACGAAUAUCAUGACAUCCAAGAUGGUCUUCAAAU
RNAcentral lists this unclassified non-coding RNA (1340 nucleotides) under Drosophila virilis. RNAcentral's name for it is "GJ18326". The record is from RNAcentral. Lineage: Eukaryota; Metazoa; Arthropoda; Insecta; Diptera; Drosophilidae.